CGGUGUCAGACAAAGUAUAUUCACUGA
Molecule: non-coding RNA, 27 nt
Filed under: Rattus norvegicus (Norway rat)
Lineage: Eukaryota; Metazoa; Chordata; Mammalia; Rodentia; Muridae
Source: RNAcentral